UCACCCGGUGCAGGGCUUGAUGCUUGGUGGAUGCUCGAUAUAAUUUCGUUGAAUAACUGAAUGACUGCGUGAAUGAACAAGCCAGGCAGACAGAAGGAGGGAGAUAUAAAGAGAUGCUAUAUUUGGAAUGGAAAGAAAUUGAGGUGCCUGACCUAUCUGGGGAACAGCCGAAGUUUAUGUUCCAGUUCCUGGUUUGUGAAAAAUUCUUCCAUGAAAUGGUGAUAGCCUGUAAGGUGGUUUUCAUCAAACCUUGAGCAAUUUUAAUGCAAACAAAAUCUCCUCGGUAUCAUUGUUAUUCUAUAAACCUCAAGCCUAUACCCAUCACUUUUCCAUAUCUUUUACAUUCCUAUGAUCACUACUGGAAAGCCCAGAGAUAUGGUGAUAUCAUUAUGCAAAAACCCAAAUAAAAGACACUUCGGAGGCAGUAGCUACAGCCAUGUUCUGAAGCGGUGUCUUCAUGCUGCAGACCAAGUGCUCGCAGAGGUGGACAGGGACACCAGGCUGGAGGCCAGCAGAGAAAGCAAUCUGCGUUUUACCUGGGGUCAGCGAAGGGUGGCUGUGUUAAUGUGCAGGAGAAGGAAAUGUGGCAGGAAGUGAGGGAACGCUGACAGCCCACUGUGGUGUGAGAUGAGGAGGAGACAUGUCCUGUUACUCAGACCCCUGAGAGGACCGAAAAGAGACAAGAGGGAACCCAUAGUGCCAGCCACAGGGGACACAGAGGCAUAGCAUCUACAGAUGGUAUCACCCAGGCUGCGGUCACUCCACACCCAUGCUCGUGGCAGAGAUGAGGGUUGGUGACAAAAGUAUCAGCUACAGCCUCAUACGUGAGAGGAAACAAAGAGGUGCAGUCGAGCCACUGCCUACUAGUUCCCUUCAUUGGUGCCAAGGGAAUAACAUUGCUUGUAUGGUUCUGCACAGAACCUUAAUCUCAUUUGGGCCACUUAAAUGAACACUUCUUUGGCUCUUUCUCAUAUCAGGCUUGCUGCCAGACGCUGGACAUACAAAGAAGAAGCUCACAGUUCCUGCCUUUGAGUUGUGUCCUGCAAUGUUUUGCUGAUGUGAGGAAAUGACAUUUUACUUCACAAGGUGAUAUAAAAGCUCUCACACAAACAGAUUCUGACUAAUUAAAGCGACAAGUUUAUACAAGCUGCAAGUGGGGUGCCAUAUGUCCUAUUCCCUGUCCCAAUGUCACAGAUGGUAAUGACCCCCACCCCCAUGAUGCAUGACCCCCGCAGCAUGCACACUGUGUAUCUCCUUAAAGAGUGUGUAACUGCAUUCCAUAUGACAGGAGGAAGGUGUAAGGCUGUGUGACUUAAAGCUCUCCCUGACUUAUUUGUGCCCAAGAAGCAUUCAAGUUCAAAGGAUUUAGAGACAGAAAAAUUAAAACUAGCAGUAUCAACAGAGAGUGUACAUUGUGGCACAGACUGAUAGAAAUAAAACAGUCAUAGAGAAGGUGAACAUCUCUCUUUAAAUAAUGAGAUGUUUUUGAUGCUUUCAAACAUCGUCCCUCACUUCGGUGGCAAGGAAAUACUUUUUGGCAGUUUUUCUUUUUCCCCAAAGAGAAAGGAACACACCCAAG
Long non-coding RNA from Chinchilla lanigera (long-tailed chinchilla), 1579 nucleotides. The record is from Ensembl. NCBI's taxonomy places the organism in Eukaryota, Metazoa, Chordata, Mammalia, Rodentia, Chinchillidae.